CCUGAUGACCAUAGCAAGUUGGUCCCACGCCUUCCCAUCCCGAACAGGACCGUGAAACGACUUUGCGCCGAUGAUAGUGCGGACUCCCGUGUGAAAGCAGGUCAUCGUCAGGC
This 113-nucleotide ribosomal RNA is filed under the name Comamonas sp. The record is from RNAcentral. RNAcentral also lists the same sequence under 2 other names. Lineage: Bacteria; Pseudomonadati; Pseudomonadota; Betaproteobacteria; Burkholderiales; Comamonadaceae.